ACCCAGUUCAUCUCCUGUGUGGUUGAUGGUUGGACUGGUUUGUGGAGUCUCUCUCAUUAUUAUUCUCCUGCUCUUGUUGUAUCGCUGCAGACAGUCCAAGUGUAAGAGCCUCUUCUUUUCAUGCUGUAUUAGAGAGUUUAUUUACUACAUACACUUUAAUUAUUCACACAUAUACAUGUAUUCUGAUCUCAUGACACUAAAUAUCAGUGGAACAAUUUAUACAUGACAAACAUGUGUAAUAACAUUUGUCUCUUUCACAGAUUCCUGCUUCACCAGGUCGAUCCAGUCUGAGAGUCACAGUCCGGGCUCCUCCACAAAUCAUGGAGUCAACCAGGAUGAAACUCAUGUGUACGACUCUCCUCAUCCUGGAUCAGAUGAACAUCAAGAUGUCACAUACGCUCUUAUUGAACUUAAAAACUUUGAAAAGAAGAGGAAGCAUCAUAAACCAGAGCAGAGUGCUGUUUACUCUGAGGUGAAGACGGGAGCUGCAGAGGACAGUCUGAUGUAUGCUGAGGUCAAAGCCCCC
Oreochromis aureus is the source of this 526-nucleotide long non-coding RNA. RefSeq lists it as uncharacterized. Lineage: Eukaryota; Metazoa; Chordata; Actinopteri; Cichliformes; Cichlidae. The record is from RefSeq and is a predicted model, not a curated record. The transcript is spliced from 5 exons.